CAACCUCUGAACCCUAAUUUCAGACCCUUCAAAAUGAAUAUUAAGCUCAUUUUGGUCUAAGAAACAAAAAACAAAUGAACAUGAAACUCAUUUUGGUCUUAUAAGGUCUGAGAAACCCCUUCUAAACUUCAAGCUGCUUUAAGAAAUAACAUUUUAUUACCUGCAAAUACACACAGUACUUUGGAGAUUUAUAAUAGUCUCUUAUUCUAAUAGAAGCCAUUAGGGAACCAGUUUCAAUAAACAGGUAAAUCUGUAAGACUAGUUUGCAAUUAGGAUAUCUGUUUUCAGUGUCCAUUCCUGCCUCUGUUAUCUAAAUGUCUGGGAACAAGAGCUGUGCUCUGCUGUGUUUAAAAUGAUUAAAAAUCACCAAUUAGUUGAGUUCAUGUAGACAGGCAUUUGACUUAUUGAGUUGUUUUAAGAAGACUAUAACAAGCCUUAAGCCCCCCAGAAACAGCCUGUCUUUGGGCUUUCCCACAUGCCUCCUCGUCCUCUCCACCUGUAGAUGUACCGUGCUCUCUGGCAGAGAAGGGAGGGUGUGGUUGGGCUGGACCCCCAGAGGCCAUCCCUCCUUCUGUCUUCUGCUCCUGCAGCCCUACCACUCUCAAACCUUUACGAGACCCUGGGAGUCGUUGGAUCCACCACCACUCAGCUGUACACGGACCGCACGGAGAAGCUGAGGCCUGAGAUGGAGGGGCCCGGCAGCUUCACCAUCUUCGCCCCUAGCAACGAGGCCUGGGCCUCCUUGCCAGCUGUGAGAUGACCUCCAUAUGCCCGGGGGACUCUUAUGGGGAACUGCCUUACUUCCCUGAGGGGUGGGCAUGAUGAAUGGGAGUCUGCAGUAAUUUCCUACUGUUUCAGGAAGCUUUUUCCUUAACCCCUUAGAAAAGGCUGUGGAACUUGAGCUAAAAUAUGUCUUACCAGGUUGCGUCUAAUGCCCCCUGUGCCCUACUGGGCAGAAAGACUUGGGUGCUUCCUGAGGAGGGAUCCUUGGCAGAAGAGAGGCCUGGGCUCACGAGGGCUGAGAACAUGUUUCCCAGAGUUGCAAGGACCCAUCUCUUAAACACAGAGUCUGCAGCCCCUAACUGACACCCUGUCCUUCCUCCUAGGAAGUGCUGGACUCCCUGGUCAGCAAUGUCAACAUUGAGCUGCUCAAUGCCCUCCGCUACCAUAUGGUGGGCAGGCGAGUCCUGACUGAUGAGCUGAAACACGGCAUGACCCUCACCUCUAUGUACCAGAAUUCCAACAUCCAGAUCCACCACUAUCCUAAUGGGGUAGGGGAUCCCCAGCCAUACUGCAUGGCCCUUGGUGCAUAAGGAACCCACUUCUGUUCCAUGUGUGGGCUGGUUUCUGGGGUUUAAGCUGUAGACAACCCACCCUCUUUGUGCCUGCUUCUCCUUGGGCCCUCUAUUCCACAGCUCGUGGAACCCACAUUCUGCUACUGUGUUUGAAAACACUGUUUUCUCCUCCCGGGGCUUUGGGACUAUGCCUCUGUUGUGUUGACUGCUCAUCCUUGCUGCUUCUCUGGGCAGAUUGUAACUGUGAACUGUGCCCGGCUGCUGAAAGCCGACCACCAUGCAACCAACGGGGUGGUGCACCUCAUCGAUAAGGUCAUCUCCACCAUCACCAACAACAUCCAGCAGAUCAUUGAGAUCGAGGACACCUUUGAGACCCUUCGGGUAAGGGACUGCCCUGGGUGGAGGCCCAGGCUUGGGACACAUUGCCUCCCAAGAGGGGCCUAGCAGCAACUCUUCUGCAGGAGAGGUAGAGGAUGGCUCCUGUAGGGGAACAUAGAGCAGGUUCCCCUGAAUGCCCUUGAACAUGGAGAAUCCAUUGACCAGACAUUCAGCUUGACCUAACCUGUGAAAUUCUCCAUCUUCUUUAUAAAGUGUUCCCUUCCUUGCCUCCCCUGGAAAGGUCAGUGGUGUCUGGCCGCAGCAGCACAGGGUCCUCUGAGCCCUGGACCUGCACCGUGGCUUCCAGAGGUGGCAGUUCCCACAUGGGGUACUAGAAUAAAUGGCCUAUCAGGCUGUGUGUGCUUUGGGAUCACAUGUCCCCACCCUGGGACCCUGGUUCCAACCAUACGCAUGUUCUCUUGGAGCCCAGAACAGCAGAGAAGCCACCAGUGUGGACACAGAAGUCAAGGGUCUGAUUUCCAGCCUGGCUUCUGACUGCUCUGGGGCUGCAGGAAUACAGUUCCUUCCCCCAUGCCCAGCAGGCAUUUGUCUUACAACUGGAGGGGAAGGCACGUUCCUCUUGGCAAGGGCUGCUCAGGAGGAAGUGGAGGCAGGCUGCCCUGUCAGGGUUUUUGCCUUGAUUCAAGGAGAACUUCCUAACCACAAAGGAUACAAGUGGGAGUGAGGCGGACCCUCCCUAGAGAUCUCCAACACAGAGAGACAAACACGCUGGGGCCGGCUGGCACUGACAGGCCUCCCAAGUGCGGAUGGCUGUUAGCUGGGAGCCUCGCUGUCUAAGCUCCUCUCCCAUGCUUUUCUUCUGGGUUGCUCGAAGGACAGGGGUCUGCAAGAAAAUGAUGUUCCCACAUAGUUGGCAGCGCAUGAACAGCAAUUGAUCCCUUUGCAUCACCUCCUCUUACUAUUUAGAUUUGGUAAAUAUUUCUUCCUUCCCUCUUCUGACCCUCCAUUUUGCCGAUCUUUCCUUCUUAUAACACAUACUUACUAGGUACCUGCUACUUCCCGGGUGGGCCUAUGUGCCAGGAGUAUAGAGGUGAACAAGGAAGGCAAAGUUCUAUUCUCAGUAGAGCUAAUAUUCUAUCUGGAGAGAGACAACAAACAAAUCAACAAGGUAGCCAGGGGCUGUGAUAAUUUAUGUCAAGUGGGCAGGUAAAUAGGGAGUGACAGUAGUGCAGGGAGGAUUGGAAAGUCAGGGAGUUCUCUCUGGAGGAGGUGGCUUUUGAUCUGCAGCCUAAAGGAUGAGAAUGGGUCCAUUAUACAAAAUGCUGGGGCAAGAGCACACCCAGUAGAGGGGAGAGCAAUAGCAAAGGCUCAGGGCAGGAAGGGCAAGGGAGAGGCCAGUGGAUCAAGUGAAGGCUCAGGGCAGGAAGGGCAAGGGAGAGGCCAGUGGGUGAGGUCACAUGUGAAGGGCAUACAAUGGGCAAAGACAAGGCCAGGGUGGCCAGGCCCAAUCCUCCAGGACUUGCAGACCUGGGAAAGAGUCCAUCUCCAUCCUGGGAGCAGCAGGAAACCACUCAGGCCUUUAGAAGAUCCUUCUGGCAGCUGUGUAGAGAAUGGGUGGUGUGAUCCUUCCAUGCAUGGGCUCAUGUACGUGAUUACCAAUAACUGUCGAGUGACAGUGUGAGGAGGGCUGCAAGCCAUGAGUGUAGGCACAGCAGACAGACUCACCUUUGUCUGGCGGUGAGAUGGGGUGGGAAGUGUGCCAAGUUGACCUCCCAAAGAAAUGAUAUUUUAGUGGAAGAAUGAAUAGAAUCAGAGAAGCAAAGAAAGAGGGAAGAGCAGAGAGGACAGCAGGGAUAAGGACUUGGGGGCAGGAAGAGGAAAGGCAGGUUAAGGACAUGAAAGAUGGCCAGGCUGGCUGGAGCUCAGGCCCAGCAAGGCCCCCUGGGGGCCAUGGUCAUGGGUGAGCUUGGGUUUGGCUUCUGUUUUCGUCUUGGGCUUCUGUAAAAGCCUCGAGCCCUUGCGGGGAACCAGUGAAGCUGUGUGUGCAUCUUCUGUGGGGAAUGCCAGAGUCUUCAGGGAGCACUCCAUCUUCUCUCCUCCCCACAGGCUGCUGUGGCUGCAUCAGGGCUCAACACGAUGCUUGAAGGUAACGGCCAGUACACGCUUUUGGCCCCAACCAAUGAGGCCUUCGAGAAGAUCCCUAGUGAGACUUUGAACCGUAUCCUGGGCGACCCAGAAGCCCUGAGAGACCUGCUGAACAACCACAUCUUGAAGUCAGCUAUGUGUGCUGAAGCCAUCGUUGCGGGGCUGUCUGUGGAGACCCUGGAGGGCACGACACUGGAGGUGGGCUGCAGCGGGGACAUGCUCACUAUCAACGGGAAGGCGAUCAUCUCCAAUAAAGACAUCCUAGCCACCAACGGGGUGAUCCACUACAUUGAUGAGCUACUCAUCCCAGACUCAGCCAAGACACUAUUUGAAUUGGCUGCAGAGUCUGAUGUGUCCACAGCCAUUGACCUUUUCAGACAAGCCGGCCUCGGCAAUCAUCUCUCUGGAAGUGAGCGGUUGACCCUCCUGGCUCCCCUGAAUUCUGUAUUCAAAGAUGGAACCCCUCCAAUUGAUGCCCAUACAAGGAAUUUGCUUCGGAACCACAUAAUUAAAGACCAGCUGGCCUCUAAGUAUCUGUACCAUGGACAGACCCUGGAAACUCUGGGCGGCAAAAAACUGAGAGUUUUUGUUUAUCGUAAUGUAAGUUCUGGGUCCUAAAUCAUGCUCCUGGGAAGCUCCUUACUGUGGGACUUGUAUUAGUGUAAAAAAAAAAAUGUCCUCAAUAAGCAGGAGUUUGCAUGAGAACUGGUUGCUGACAAGGAAGGAAAUAAUUUCUGGAAAAUAUAGAUAACAAAAUGAGAUCCUGCAGAAGGAUUGGAAUCUCUUUUUCUGGAGGCCUUUGAGAAUAAACCACACAAUUAUCCAACCUGUAUUGUGAAGGAAUAAGUCCUUCUUGAAUUCAGGAAUUAACACCUGGGAGGAGGGAUGGAGUUCAGACUCUUUCUGAGCUUAUGAGAAGAGAAGCCCCCU
This 4709-nucleotide small RNA is filed under the name Pan troglodytes (chimpanzee). Its description in RNAcentral is "retained intron". Lineage: Eukaryota; Metazoa; Chordata; Mammalia; Primates; Hominidae. The record is from RNAcentral.